This 288-nucleotide long non-coding RNA is filed under the name Elaeis guineensis (African oil palm). RNAcentral describes it as "long non-coding RNA (EGUI_LNC042732)". The record is from RNAcentral. Lineage: Eukaryota; Viridiplantae; Streptophyta; Magnoliopsida; Arecales; Arecaceae.
GCGGAGGCCGUUGACCGUCUGGAGGAUGCCCUUCGGGGAGGCAUCAGGUGGAGAUCAGGCAGGAAACCGGAGGAGAAGAUGUCAGAGAAGAUGACCGGAGGUGGUCCCGUUGAGUGCUCCUUUAAGAACAAGGGUACUGCGAAGACACAGCCCUUCUUCUAGUGCCAAUCCUGUUGGUGCAAAAAUCCACCGACGUCGAAGAAGCUGGAGUCGAGGGAGUCAUGGUCGCCGCCGGGACCUGCAAAGAAAGUCUAUACCGGAGUUGGGGGUGCUCCGAUAAGACCCUCC